AUUGAACGCUGGCGGCAGGCCUAACACAUGCAAGUCGAGCGAACCUAGCUUGCUAGGUGAGCGGCGAACGGGUGAGUAACGCGUAGGAAUCUGCCUGGUAGUGGGGGACAACGUUCCGAAAGGAACGCUAAUACCGCAUACGCCCUACGGGGGAAAGCAGGGGAUCUUCGGACCUUGCGCUAGCAGAUGAGCCUGCGUCGGAUUAGCUAGUUGGUAGGGUAAAGGCCUACCAAGGCGCCGAUCCGGAACGGGUCUGAGAGGAUGCUCAGUCACACCGGAACGGAGGCCCGGUCCGGACUCCUGCGGGGGGCAGCAGUGGGGAAUAUUGGACGAUGGGGGCAACCCUGAUCCAGCCAUGCCGCGUGUGGGAAGAAGGCCUUCGGGUUGUAAAGCACUUUAGGUCGGGAGGAAGGUUCGCUGGCUAAUAUCCAGCGGAAUUGACGUUACCGACAGAAUAAGCACCGGCUAACUCCGUGCCAGCAGCCGCCGUAA
Molecule: ribosomal RNA, 492 nt
Filed under: uncultured bacterium
Lineage: Bacteria
Description: partial 16S ribosomal RNA
Rfam family: Bacterial small subunit ribosomal RNA
Source: RNAcentral